CUUAUUAAUAAACGAGCCGAGUCGAGCCUCUAACGAGUCAAGCCUCUAACGAGCCAAGCCAUAGGCCCCUGACGAGCCGCCUGGCCUAUUUCCACCCCUACCUAUCUCCUACGCGGGUCCCACUCCUACCAAUACAAAUAUUAUUUUCUUUUCUUUCUCUCCCUUCAUCCCCUCCCACAACCGCUCUCUCUCUCUCUCUCUUCCACCCUUCUCAUUCACGUUUCUUUCCCUCUCUCUCCCAUAAAAACCUUUUCUUCUUCUUUCUGCAACACCACAACACCUUCUUCUUCUUCAGUUUAUUUUUCCUGCAACUCAACACCACCAUCAUGUGCCAAAACCGUGAGCACCACCACCUCCAUGCCUCCUUCACGCAGCAACCACCACUGUCCCUGUUCUGUUUUUCCUCUCCAUGAGAGUCACCACCAAAACCCUAGCCGCCGCCCUUUUCCUCCGAUCUCCGGCGAACUAUUAAGUUUUUGGAGAAACCAACACCACCACUGAACUCCCCUCAUCAACCGCAACAAAACCCCUCCAUCGAUUUGAUGAUCGGCCACCGUGACUCCGGCGACCGUUGCCGCCGCCGCUACCGGCGUCUUCUCCGGCGAGCUUUGUUCUGAGAAAGAAGACCAAUUUCUUGAAGCUUUCGACCUCUUCUUUCCAAAUCCAAAGUCAGAUCAUUGUUUAGAGUUCUGCUGAUCCCUGAGGGAGAAGAGAACCGCGACCAGAGCAGAGGAAGGGGAGGAGUUCAACUCAGUUCCACAGCCUUGAGAAAAUUAAGGUAGAAGGAGAAAGGCUUGAACUUAGAGAUUAUGUGAAGAGUAGAGGACCACCUUACUACACCUAUGGUUUUGUCAGAUGUUAGUCUAGGUUUAAUGUAAUUGCUGAGUUGGGAAAUUUCAAUUGAGUCAUAUUGAAAAUAGAUAUUUAAAAAUUUCAAUCCUCCAUGUUCUUGUUUUGCCAUGAUUCAUGGUUAUUUAGAGCUGCUCCUUACUGGUUAGAAAUUUGGGUUUUUCACUGGAUUUUCUAUUUUCAAAAUUGUCUGGCUGUAUAGUGUGUUGGACAAUUCUUUCCCAUUCUGAUUAUUUGGUAGUAUUAUGUCAUCUACCAUUAUGUAUUGAAAAUUGAAUUAACAUGAGAAAAAUAAACUGAAUUAGAAACCUGGAUAUGGUUAGUUAGAAACUUUCUAUAUUAUCAAA
Long non-coding RNA from Lotus japonicus, 1196 nucleotides. RefSeq lists it as uncharacterized. NCBI's taxonomy places the organism in Eukaryota, Viridiplantae, Streptophyta, Magnoliopsida, Fabales, Fabaceae. The transcript is spliced from 2 exons. The record is from RefSeq and is a predicted model, not a curated record.